This 237-nucleotide ribosomal RNA is filed under the name uncultured bacterium. RNAcentral's name for it is "partial 16S ribosomal RNA". It matches the Rfam family "Bacterial small subunit ribosomal RNA", at positions 99 to 334 of the family's 1533-position model. The record is from RNAcentral.
CGAACGGGUGAGUAACGCGUGAGGAACCUGCCUCAAAGAGGGGGACGACAGUUGGAAACGACUGCUAAUACCGCAUAAGCCCACGGGUCGGCAUCGACCAGAGGGAAAAGGAGCAAUCCGCUUUGAGAUGGCCUCGCGUCCGAUUAGCUAGUUGGUGAGGUAACGGCCCACCAAGGCAACGAUCGGUAGCCGGACUGAGAGGUUGAACGGCCACAUUGGGACUGAGACACGGCCCAG